AGCGAUGACUUUGCUGCUUUCUCCACCUCCGCCCCGGCGAGCCAGCACAGGGCAGAGCACACCGUGAUUGUGACACCGGGUGCCCAGAGUGCCACAAACAGGUUUUCGGCGCUGAGGUCGCCUGGAUGUGGAGGGUUUGGCCACAUGGCAGGAGGAGGAAGCCUCCUCCAGGGGCUGCCUGCGCUGGGCACUGUCAGAAGCCAGCAGAGCCAGGAGUAAAGCAGCUGGGGCAAGCCAAGCACACCGAUUCCCCGUGGAAAAUGCAGGGACCAACAGGAGAAGCAUGCCCAUGCCAGCACCCAGCGAAGGGUGGGCAUGGCAGGGAGAGGUCGGCGUCCCCUUCCUGAGCGGGGAGCCAGCUCCCAGCCGGGGACGUGCCCCGGUGCCAUACACACCUGGCUGGAGAAGGGAGCGGCGCUGACAGUGCACGAUGGCCGAAACAAGGAGCUCUUUCAGGCGCUGGAGGACUUUGCCCGGUGCCAGGUGCCGCACCGUGCCAC
Molecule: long non-coding RNA, 500 nt
Organism: Oxyura jamaicensis (ruddy duck)
Lineage: Eukaryota; Metazoa; Chordata; Aves; Anseriformes; Anatidae
Exons: 3
Source: RefSeq, a predicted model, not a curated record